RNAcentral lists this unclassified non-coding RNA (682 nucleotides) under Diplogonoporus sp. LG-2013. Its description in RNAcentral is "sequence contains ITS1 and 5.8S rRNA gene". The stretch from base 588 to 682 matches the Rfam family "5.8S ribosomal RNA", at positions 1 to 96 of the family's 154-position model. The record is from RNAcentral. Lineage: Eukaryota; Metazoa; Platyhelminthes; Cestoda; Diphyllobothriidea; Diphyllobothriidae.
GUCGUAACAAGGUUUCCGUAGGUGAACCUGCGGAAGGAUCAUUACACGUUCCGUCUGUAUGCGCCCGAUAGUCUCGUGCUAUCUCGCGUAUUCUUACUGCUACUGCUGCUGCCAUGUUGCUUGUGCGUGUGGUGGUGGUGGUAUGCAUCUGGUCUGUCGGUCAUGGCAGUCCAACAUUUUUGCGGUGGGGUGCCUAGCCUGUCGGAUGCCCGCCAGGUGUGCUCGCCUUCUUCUUUGGAUGGCCAGUUAACACCGGGGUGACAGGGUAGUGCAUGUGCGAGGUUGGGCUGUUUGCUUGUGCGCAGCUGCUCCUUCCACGAGUGCGAGGCGUAAGACUCGAGGCGUCGUGUGCUCUAUGUAGCAAUGAGGCGCCCUCGGCGCCCCACCAUGUGUCAGUUGUUGUUUUGUGUUGCUGUGUUUUACACCAUGUGGGCGUGGUCUUUCCAUGCUCUCGCUAACCUUGCUCUUCUGCAUAGUUGAGCACGGUGGUGCACUCCUUGUUGGCUAGUUGGUCGCUGACCGGCUGGCCCAAGUUCUGGUGUACCUAACAAGAUCGGCUGUCUUAUGGCAUUGUCGGUCGAAAGUACAACUCUAUGCGGUGGAUCACUCGGCUCGUGUGUCGAUGAAGAGCGCAGCCAACUGUGUGAAUUAAUGUGAAUCGCAGACUGCUUUGAACAUCGAC